This 473-nucleotide long non-coding RNA is filed under the name Piliocolobus tephrosceles (Ugandan red Colobus). Its description in RNAcentral is "lncRNA (ENSPTEG00000011214.1)". The record is from RNAcentral. Lineage: Eukaryota; Metazoa; Chordata; Mammalia; Primates; Cercopithecidae.
AAAAAAAAAAAAAAAAUAUAAUUUAUAUAUAUAUACAUAUAUGAACAAAAAGAUAUGAACAAUUCGUGCGAGUAAUAUUAAUUAAAAUGUAGUACAUUUUAUUUUACUUCUUGUAUUUUGUUUUAUUUAUUUUUUCAAGUAAGCAAACGUGUUAGGAAAAAUGGCGUUCAUGUUUAAGCGAGAGGGCAAUUACUGCAAAAACAAGUUACACGAGUCGUUUCAAAAAAACAAAAGUUUUGUUAAUCGUCUUAUGUACGAUGUAACUGCAUUUCACUACGAAAAUUACAUGAAAAAUAAAAUCUAUUCAAAUAUUAUGACUAACUAUAACAAUAUUGAAAAAUUACAGUCUAUGUUGAAUUUAAUAAAUGGUGAUAAAGAAAAUGCUUUUAAAAUUAAAACAGGUAUCUUUUUUUUUUUUUUUUUUUUUUUUUUUUUACUGAUAAAUUUAGAAAAAAUUUAUUGCUAUUUAAUUA